RNAcentral lists this ribosomal RNA (330 nucleotides) under uncultured eukaryote. Its description in RNAcentral is "partial 18S ribosomal RNA". It matches the Rfam family "Eukaryotic small subunit ribosomal RNA", at positions 1470 to 1796 of the family's 1831-position model. The record is from RNAcentral.
CCCUUAGAUGUUCGGGGCCGCACGCGCGCUACACUGAAGGAAUCAGCACGUCUUUCUCCUUGUCCGAAAGGACUGGGUAACCCGCUGAACCUCCUUCGUGCUAGGGAUUGGGGCUUGUAAUUCUUCCCCAUGAACGAGGACUUCCCAGUAAGCGCGAGUCAUAAGCUCGCGUUGAUUACGUCCCUGCCCUUUGUACACACCGCCCGUCGCUACUACCGAUUGGAUGGUUUAGUGAGAUCCUCGGAUUGGUCCCGGAGCGGCCUCUGGUCGUGCCGGAGUGCCGAAAAGAAUGUCGAACUUGAUCAUCUAGAGGAAGUAAAAGUCGUAACA